RNAcentral lists this unclassified non-coding RNA (2977 nucleotides) under Drosophila ananassae. Its description in RNAcentral is "GF23072". The record is from RNAcentral. Lineage: Eukaryota; Metazoa; Arthropoda; Insecta; Diptera; Drosophilidae.
GUGAGCAGGCUCUGAGGAGGAAUAUAAAUAUCAAAUAGUAAUAGAAUAAAACAACAGAUUUGAGAGAAAAAUGCUCUUGAUAAACGCAAUUAACUGACAUAAACGAACCAAAGAAAAGAAACAGUGACAAAGAAGAGCUGUUGAAAUCGAAUGAAUUGGGAAGGCUAGUGAUCUCUAAAGUCUGAGCCUGUGAUUAGUGUUUUGUGUUGGUGUUUUUAAAAAAAAUAAAAGGAUCUAGGAUGGAACACGAUAGCUUCGACGAUCCCAUUUUUGGGGACUUUGGCGGCGGUCCGCUGAACCCUCUAGGCGCCAAGCCCCUCCUGCCCACCUCGACUGCGAUGCAUCCCGUGAUGCUGGGCAGUGUCCACGAGCUGUGCAGCCAGCAACAACAACAGCCGCAGCAACAGAGGUUGCCCGACUGCAACACUAUUCUGCCAAACGGAGGCGGGGGAGGAGCAGGUGGCGGUUCUGGUCCCGGAGGAUCUCCCAACUAUGUGCCCAAGCUAGACUUCGUGAACAAGAUUGGGUGUUACUCACCGACGCAGAAGUACGAGUACAUCACUGCCCCCCAGAAGAUCGUGGAGCAGCAGCAUCAGCAACAGCACCAACAGCAGCAUCACCACCACUAUGCGGCUACUCCUCCGCCCAGCCAUAACGGCAUUAUGAUCCAUAAACAGCCCUCCCAACAACAGCAGCAACUGGUGGGGAUCCUGGACUAUCAUCCGAUGAAUGGCAAGCUGGACUACUCGCCCAAAGAUCAGUACGAGCCACAGCAGCAACUGCAGCACCUCUACGGCGGCAGCCCGCAUCACCUGGAUCAUCUGGACCAGCACGGGGGCGAUGCCCUGCUCCAGGACUCCUCCCCAGUGAUGCUCAAUGGAGGUUCAUCGGCUGGAAAACUCAAAAAACCCGAUGAAAUCUGCGGACAGAUGGAGGCGGGUGGCCCUGUCGUCGCUCCGACAACCAGCUCCGCGACGGUGGUCAAUGGUGGGGCAGGAACACCCAACGGCACUUCCGCCAGCUCUGCAGGAGUUCAGGGGGCGGCAGGCACAGCAGGAGGUGUGACAUCCGCUGCGCCGAAGAAGGAGAGCAACAGCAGUAAAAAGAAAGGCGAUCCCAAUGGCAUUAAAAAAAAGAAAACGAGGACAACCUUUACUGCCUACCAGCUGGAGGAACUGGAACGAGCUUUCGAACGUGCCCCGUACCCGGAUGUGUUCGCACGCGAAGAACUGGCCAUCAAGUUGAACCUGAGCGAGUCUAGGGUGCAAGUAUGGUUUCAGAACCGACGCGCUAAGUGGCGCAAGCACGAACCGCCUCGCAAAACGGGGUACAUCAAGACAAGCACUCCGCCGACGGCGAGUCUGAAUCCUGGAACUCUUGCCCCUCCGUUUACCAGCUAUCCACAGACGACGACGGUGACGCCGCCGGGCAGUAUGGAUAGCUGGACCAGCUACCAGACUCCCUACGAGCUGACACCCCAGUUCAGUUUGCUUUCGCCCGCGGCCAGUCCGUACGGCACCUAUUCCGGCCAGUAUGGUGCCUAUGUGCAUGAAAGUCAGCUGUUCCCAAUGCGUCACUUCGAUUACGGCAGCCCGACGCGCAUGGAAAUGGGAACAGCCUCCGGAUCGGUAGCAGGGGGAGGCGAAGACGUGGUGGCCAACGGAACCAGCUACCAGCCGGCGGAAAUGCAGCCCGCUCAGCAUCCGCAGCAACAACAAUUGGCAGAUGGCACCCUGGUAACCGUCCAUACCCACCAGCAGCAGCAACCCCACCAGUCCCAGCAGCAAUUAAACGGGAAGUACCUGAGCGCAGAGGAAACAAAAUACGUGCACCUCCAAUGUCACCAAAUUGGAUCGGGUCUAGAGUUGAGUCCUGGCUCCAACUGUCACCUGGUCGAAUCUCAAGGUCAGCACUAUGUGACAAGUGCCCCAGGCGGAUCCUCUAGCGGUGGUGGUGGUGGGGGUACCAGCAGCGACGACAACGACAGCGGGGGCCUGCAGGCUGUGAUCAAAAGUGAGGAUGCCGCCCAGCAGCAGCAGGCACAGAGCUUCACCCUGCCGCCUUUUUUGCACUAAGGGAAAUGCUCACACAUAGGCGACAACAGCAGAACAGCAGCAACCGCCGCUGGACCACGCCCAUCGUGCCAAGCGCCCGAUUCCGGCGGCCAUUUUAGGUGGGCGUGCGGUGUGCAGCAUUUCAAACCUUGUAUCGUCGGCUGGCUGUGGGGCCACAGGUACCUCCAAGAGCCAGGGAUUUAAAGAUUGAUUUCAAGCGAGAUCCGUUUAAAGUUUCGAAUUUAAAGCCCGACUGAGUUCCACAAUCCAGAGGCUUUUAGGGUUUUGCUGACCAUGUACACAGAUACAGUCCCUGGCCAUUGUUUUCAUAUUGCCAUAGGUUCCUUUUAGGUUUAAUUUCGCAAGUUGCAACAACAGAAUCGAUAAGUCUUGCCAAAACUUAAGACAUAUUUUAAUUCUAAGUAUAGAUUAAAAACGGCUAGAGGUUCUAGAACAUUUGUAGAACCCAGCCCCCAAUGCAUUCAAAAUGUGCCUUACCGCAUGGAUACAGGGCGGCUCUUCCGCAAAGAGCCCCGGAUCCGUACUACUUUAAGUAUAUCCCUACACCAUUGCAAAAUACUGUUGUUUAGACAAUAAAAUUCUUUCUGUAUUGUAUAUUAGCUCAUUCGGCUUUAUAAAGUUACUACUUACUAAUUUAUCCGCUUUGUAUAUUCGUUUAAAAAUUUGUUGUACCUAAAAUUAAGUUAAUUUAAGUUACGUUAUUGUAUCGUACUCUAGGACAUUUCGCCAGUGUAUAUAAUAGACAUAUGAAUAAAUCGUAUUUUGUACCAAUUACUGACUAAUAAGUUCCAAACAGAAACAAAGCUUAAAAUGUAAAAACAAGGUGCAUAAAGUAUUAUUAUGGGAAUCAUAGAUGUUACACUUUCAAAUAGGAAAAAAAUGGUGGGAAUAGCUUGAAUGUA